RNAcentral lists this long non-coding RNA (858 nucleotides) under Homo sapiens (human). RNAcentral's name for it is "non-protein coding MIR663AHG:71". Lineage: Eukaryota; Metazoa; Chordata; Mammalia; Primates; Hominidae. The record is from RNAcentral.
GUGGCGGUGGGAUCCCGCGGCCGUGUUUUCCUGGUGGCCCGGCCAUGCCUGAGGUUUCUCCCUCAGCCGCCCCUCUGCGGGCUCCCAGGUGCCCUUGCCCUCGCGGUCCCCGGCCCUUGCCUGUCUGCGCCCCCUUCCCCGCCCGCCGCCCGCCGAUCCUCUCUCCUCCCCGAGCGGCUCACCGGCUUUACGUCGGUUGGUGGCCGCGUCUGGGACCGAACCGGGCACCGCCUUGUGGAAAAAAAAGAAUAGAAUAUACCCUGUUAAAUCAGACAUGAUACUUGCUUUUGUGGAGCUUAUGCUUUAGUGCAGAAACAGAAAGUCAAGCAAAAACUCAAACUAUGUAACUUUAAAUUGGAUAUGUGCUAAUGAAGGAAAAUGUGGCACUGUAAGAAAAAAUAAUAGGGAGUUAAAGGAUAAAUAGGAGUUUGCUGGAUGAAAUUUAUGAAGAGCUGAAGAUUUCAAACAAAAGAAACUGAUGCAGGAGGGUGCAGCUUUGGAGUCAAGAAUGAAGUUCUAGGAGAUAGAGAGCAAAGAAAUGGUGGGAGAGGAGGUCAAAGUUCUUUCCUCCAGCUCACUUUAUUGUAAGAACCUUGGUGUCUGUAAUCGGCUCGGAACCCUUGCUGCUCUUUCACUGAAUAUCGCUGUCUGGAGGUUACUUGGUACACUGGUCGACAAAACCUUGAAAUGUUGAUGUUUAAGGGCUGUUGAUUGCUGGCAGCAAAGAAGUCCAACUGUGCUGGUACCCGAGAUAGCGUCUCCACAUUUUCUUCCAGGAUCAUCACCUUUGUUCUAAAUAGCUCCCACAUAGUGUGAACAGAAGUCAUAUGUUUUAGAUUUUCUGCCUUGGCACCCAGG